AACGCACAUUGCGCCCGCCAGCAUUCUGGCGGGCAUGCCUGUUCGAGCGUCAUUUCAACCCUCAGGCCCUGCCUGGUGUUAGAGGACUGCGCAUGCAGCCUCCCAAAGCAAGCGGCGGCGGCGCCCCAAAACCGAACGCAGUAGUUACUUCUCGUUCUGGGUCUGGGUCGUUGUCCUGCCGGAAAACCCCCAUCUUUUUAAUGGUUGACCUCGAAUCAGGUAGGAAUACCCGCUGAACUUAA
This 242-nucleotide unclassified non-coding RNA is filed under the name uncultured fungus. RNAcentral's name for it is "sequence contains ITS2". Lineage: Eukaryota; Fungi. The record is from RNAcentral.